UAGGAUUAGAUACCCUAUUAUUAAAAUUUAAAUUAAAAAUACUAAAAUAGUAGGUAAUUAUUUAUUGAAACUUAAAUAAUUUGGCGGUAUUUUAGUUCAUUUAGAGGAAUCUGUUUAAUAAUUGAUAAUCCACGAAUAAAUUUACUUAAUUUUUUAUUUUGUAUAUCGUUGUUAAAAAAAUAUUUUUUAAUAAUAAUAAUAUUUAAAAAUUUUGAUUAAAAAUUAAAUCAGAUCAAGAUGCAGAUUAUAGUUAAGAAUAUAAUGGAUUACAAUAAAUUUAUUUAG
This 285-nucleotide ribosomal RNA is filed under the name Spodoptera frugiperda (fall armyworm). RNAcentral describes it as "partial small subunit ribosomal RNA". The record is from RNAcentral. Lineage: Eukaryota; Metazoa; Arthropoda; Insecta; Lepidoptera; Noctuidae.